This 836-nucleotide ribosomal RNA is filed under the name uncultured Acinetobacter sp. RNAcentral's name for it is "bacterial SSU rRNA". It matches the Rfam family "Bacterial small subunit ribosomal RNA", at positions 1 to 837 of the family's 1533-position model. Lineage: Bacteria; Pseudomonadati; Pseudomonadota; Gammaproteobacteria; Moraxellales; Moraxellaceae. The record is from RNAcentral.
UAGAGUUUGAUCCUGGCUCAGAUUGAACGCUGGCGGCAGGCUUAACACAUGCAAGUCGAGCGGAGCGAGGGUGCUUGCACCUUAGCUUAGCGGCGGACGGGUGAGUAAUGCUUAGGAAUCUGCCUAUUAGUGGGGGACAACAUUCCGAAAGGGAUGCUAAUACCGCAUACGCCCUACGGGGGAAAGCAGGGGAUCUUCGGACCUUGCGCUAAUAGAUGAGCCUAAGUCGGAUUAGCUAGUUGGUGGGGUAAAGGCCUACCAAGGCGACGAUCUGUAUCGGGUCUGAGAGGAUGAUCCGCCACACUGGGACAGAGACACGGCCCAGACUCCUACGGGAGGCAGCAGUGGGGAAUAUUGGACAAUGGGGGGAACCCUGAUCCAGCCAUGCCGCGUGUGUGAAGAAGGCCUUAUGGUUGUAAAGCACUUUAAGCGAGGAGGAGGCUACUCUAGUUAAUACCUAGGGAUAGUGGACGUUACUCGCAGAAUAAGCACCGGCUAACUCUGUGCCAGCAGCCGCGGUAAUUCAGAGGGUGCGAGCGUUAAUCGGAUUUACUGGGCGUAAAGCGUGCGUAGGCGGCUUAUUAAGUCGGAUGUGAAAUCCCCGAGCUUAACUUGGGAAUUGCAUUCGAUACUGGUGAGCUAGAGUAUGGGAGAGGAUGGUAGAAUUCCAGGUGUAGCGGUGAAAUGCGUAGAGAUCUGGAGGAAUACCGAUGGCGAAGGCAGCCAUCUGGCCUAAUACUGACGCUGAGGUACGAAAGCAUGGGGAGCAAACAGGAUUAGAUACCCUGGUAGUNNNUGCCGUAAACGAUGUCUACUAGCCGUUGGGGCCUUUGAGG